CAAGUCUUCAUUUCAUUACGAUUUCGAUUUUUAGGGAGUUCACGCUUGUGUCUAUGUGCCGUGGUUUGUUUAAUUCGUUGCCGGCAUUUUUUGGGUUGUGAAUCUUUCAUUUUUGCUUUCUGCUGGGGGGAUAAAGUUCUAAUAAACUAAAAAAUUAUCGCCUUCACUUAUAAAUUGAAUCAAAUCUGUUUUUGUAAUAUUUAAAUAGAUUACUAAGUGCAAUACCAAGGUAUAAACUAUGGCGGACCAAACACAAGCUGAAAACUCUCCUGCCGUUAAACCGGAAUCCGCUGAUCAAACGAGAGAUUCGAAUAAUUUUCAGAGGAGGUCUAGAGGAGGCAGCAGGUUUAGUAGUGGACCUCCAAGAGGAGGAGCCAAUCAAACUCAAGACAGGAUGAGUGAAAAUCAAAAUCAGCAAGGAGAUGGGGACAGCAUGCAAGUCAAGCAAGAAAAUUCUGAUCAAAAUGCUGGUAACCAUCAAAAUAAUAGACGUGGCGGCCGUGGAGGCAGCCGAUUUAGCAGUGGACCUGGUAGAGGAGGCUUUCAUAAUAGAGGAGGUCCAGAUGGUGACAAAAAUGACAGAAACGAUUUCAAAGGAGGAGAUGGCGAACGUGGCAGAGGUAGAGGUCGCGGACGUGGUGGAUUUAGAGGAGGUCGUGACGGACCUCGUGGAGGAGGCGGAGGUGAAGAAGGUAUGGAUGGAGACACAAGCUUUAGGCCUAGAGGACAUGUUGACAAAAUUGCUGAGAAAAUCAUGGGAUUCCAAGGACCAACCUUUGAAUUACCUCCUAUGGACAUGACUGAAAAGAAAUUUAAUGGUAGAAAUAGAUUGUAUGUUGGUAACAUUGGAUCUGAUGUCACUGAGGAGGACUUGGUUGAACAUUUUAAAGUAUUUGGAGAAACGUCUGAAGUUUUCCUCAAUAAAGACAAGAACUUUGGGUUCAUUAAGUUGGACUACCAUGCCAAUGCUGAAAAAGCAAAAAGAGAACUUGAUGGAACUGUUUUGAAAGGCAGAAAUCUAAAAAUUAGAUUUGCUCCUACAAGUGCAACUAUUAAAGUUAAGAACUUGUGCCCUUAUGUAUCUAAUGAACUGCUAUUCUAUGCAUUCAGUCCAUUUGGUGAAAUUGAGAAAGCUCAUGUAAGUGUUGAUGAGAGGGGCAAGCCAACUGGUGAAGGCUAUAUCCACUUUGCUAGGAAAUUUUCUGCCACUUUGGCAAUCAAAAAGUGUUCUGAAGGCUGCUACUUUUUGACAACAUCUCUACAGCCUGUUAUUGUGGAACCUUAUGAAAUUGUCGACGAUAUAGACGGAUUUGCCGACAAGAGCAUUAACAAGAAGCACCCUGACUUUAUGAGGGAGAGAGAACAACCUCCAAGAAUGGCUCAUACAAACAGCUUUGAAUUUGAAUAUGGUCAAAGAUGGAAAGUCUUGUAUGAACUCCACCAGCAGAAGGAAGAAGCUUUGAAGAAGGAACUAGCUCUUGAAAAAGAAAAAUUGGUUGCUCAGAUGGAAUAUGCCAAAUAUGAACAUGAAACCGAGAUGCUCAGGAACCAACUAAGGGCAAGAGAAAUGGACAAGGAACGCCAGAAGAGGGAAUGGGAAAUGAAGGAACGAAUGGCGGAAGAAGAACGUCAAAGGCAAGAAGAGACUAUGCGCACACGUCAGGAAGAAAUGGAAGCAAGAAUGCUGGCUUCUCAAGAAGAUAUGAGGAGGAGACAACAGGAAAACAAUCUCUUCAUGCAGGCACAUAAUCUUGAUUCACUUUUGGAACAGCAAGAACAAGUAUUUGAUCAACCUAACUUUGGAGGUCAGGGUUCUUAUGCAUCUGGAGGAGCUGAUGGGGUAAUGGUUGUUUUGGCGUACUAAUGUGAUCAGCGUACUUUAACCUGGAUAUUGGAUAUAUUACAUUUGGGACAGCAAAAUGUGUAGAAGUGAAUCCUACCGGAAAGAGUUGAUAGCUGGUUGAGCUUGAACGAAUUAACUGUCUUUGGGUUUCCGCGUCUAUCCUUUUGACCCAGCGAUGCUCCAACGUCAUUAACCCAAAUGGAAAAUACGUUUUUUGGAGGUCUACAAGUCGGCCUUUGUGGCGGCCUUCGAGCCUCCUCAUUCGACUUUGAUCCCGGGGGGGAAGUGACUUGUAAGUUUGGAACCAAAAAUAAGUUACACCGAGCGAAUUCUGGAGAAUACGGCGGAAGAGGCACCUGGGCGUGGCAUAUCAAAAGCCGACGUGCAUGAUGGGAAAAAAUCGUAUUAUUUUUUAAAAAUGGGUUUAUCAAGUUAUGAGUGACUUCAGUAAACAACAAUUUUAAUUUGAAUUACAAAUCACUCAUAUUCAAAAUAAUUCUAAAGGGCUCAUUUGCAACAUAGCAAGCCAUCUGAAUUCUUGUCAUUCAACACGCAAUACAAAUAUGCUUAAAAUUAUUAUAUAGCACGUUGUAUAACAUUAUUAAAAAACUGUACUAUUGUUAAACUUGAUCUUAUAAGCAUUUAUACAUAGUGGCUAAACGAAAUGUCGGGCUCGUAAAGAUUUUAAAAAGAAAACGCUCGGUCACGUCAAUUUAGAUUAUCAGGGGGAAAAUUUUUCGGAAUAUCACCCCCAUCUGUCAUCCCUAAUCAUUUUUAAUGGAAUAAGUGGGUCGAGUUAUACCUUGUUUGAAAGGUCUUUCGAUUUUCUUUUUGCCUAUACCUAGUUUAAAGGAUUUUACUUCAGUGGUUCUCAAAAUAUUGACUAUUUUAAUAUUUAAUAGUUUUUUGGAAAAUAAUCGCAAUUCUUUGUCAAACAAUUAUUAAUUCAAAAUUUUUGAGAUUGGUUCCACCCUGGCUAAGGGAUGAUUGAUGGGGGUGGUAUUAUACUCUGAAAAUAUUUCUCCCUGGUAAUCUAAAAUGACCUGUCCGAGCCUUUUCUUCUUAAAAUCUUUACGAGCCCGACAUGGCUGCCCUUUCGUUUUUGUUUAGCCACCCUGUAUGUCGUGUAUAAGCUCAAAAAGGGCCCACGCUAAUAAAAUAAUUUUAUUUUAUUAAACUCGUUUAAUAAUUUUAUAUAAAAUUGAUUCCCGUUCAUAAUAAAGUAUUUAUAAAAUUA
This 3080-nucleotide unclassified non-coding RNA is filed under the name Anthonomus grandis grandis. RNAcentral's name for it is "protein no-on-transient A-like". The record is from RNAcentral. Lineage: Eukaryota; Metazoa; Arthropoda; Insecta; Coleoptera; Curculionidae.